This 504-nucleotide long non-coding RNA is filed under the name Setaria italica (foxtail millet). RNAcentral's name for it is "long non-coding RNA (SITA_LNC006425)". Lineage: Eukaryota; Viridiplantae; Streptophyta; Magnoliopsida; Poales; Poaceae. The record is from RNAcentral.
CGGAAAGCACGACCGCACUAUCCGAUUGCACCAUCGGUUGCGGUUCUCCGCCAAGUCCAUGUCGCGCGGCGGGCGGCGGUGGACGGGAAGGGCGGCUAGGGUCAUGGGAGAGCAGCCGAAAGCAGGGAUCAACGUGCAAAUAUUUGGAUCGCGGAGAAUAAUCGCGAUCCAAAUCAGGUAAUUUUGUGUAGAUAUUUGGAUCGCGGAGAAUAAUCGCGAUCCAAAUAAGAGAUUUUCUUGUAAAUAUAUGGAUCACGGAGAAUUUUUGCGAUCCAAAUUAGGGGCUGAUUUGCAAAAUGUUUUCGCCUCAGUCCACCCUCCGGCGCCCCUUCUCGGAUCGCCGGCGGCCACCGCCGACGUGGACGCCAAGCCCGGAGGCUUCCGCCGCGGCCUCAUUUAAGGGAUAAUAACUGGUUCAGAGUGAUGGCGGCCCAGGGUCUUCACCAGCUUCGGUGGAGCCGCGGAGGACGGCAGGACGCCAGCAUCGAGAUGCCUGAGGACGCC